CCUGUGAAUUAGACAAGUGACAGAAAACAUCAGAAAAGGGCACCUGCAGUGCCAUGUAAGGCAGACACAGAUAUCCCUGUGAAUUAGAGGAGUGACAGAAAACAUCAGAAAAGGGCACCUGCAGUGCCAUGUAAGGCAGACACAGAUAUCCCUGUGAAUUAGAGGAGUGACAGAAAACAUCAGAAAAGGGCACCUGCAGUGCCAUGUAAGGCAGACACAGAUAUCCCUGUGAAUUAGAGGAGUGACAGAAAACAUCAGAAAAGGGCACCUGCAGUGCCAUGUAAGGCAGACACAGAUAUCCCUGUGAAUUAGAGGAGUGACAGAAAACAUCAGAAAAGGGCACCUGCAGUGCCAUGUCAGGCAGACACAGAUAUCCCUGUGAAUUAGAGGAGUGACAGAAAACAUCAGAAAAGGGCACCUGCAGUGCCAUGUAAGGCAGACACAGAUAUCCCUGUGAAUUAGAGGAGUGACAGAAAACAUCAGAAAAGGGCACCUGCAGUGCCAUGUCAGGCAGACACAGAUAUCCCUGUGAAUUAGAGGAGUGACAGAAAACAUCAGAAAAGGGCACCUGCAGUGCCAUGUCAGGCAGACACAGAUAUCCCUGUGAAUUAGAGGAGUGACAGAAAACAUCAGAAAAGGGCACCUGCAGUGCCAUGUCAGGCAGACACAGAUAUCCCUGUGAAUUAGAGGAGUGACAGAAAACAUCAGAAAAGGGCACCUGCAGUGCCAUGUAAGGCAGACACAGAUAUCCCUGUGAAUUAGAGGAAUGACAGAAAACAUCAGAAAAGGGCACCUGCAGUGCCAUGUCAGGCAGACACAGAUAUCCCUGUGAAUUAGACAAGCGACAGAAAACAUCAGAAAAGGGCACCUGCAGUGCCAUGUAAGGCAGACACAGAUAUCCCUGUGAAUGAGGAGAGUGACAGAAAACAUCAGAAAAGGGCACCUGCAGUGCCAUGUAAGGCAGACACAGAUAUCCCUGUGAAUUAGAGGAGUGACAGAAAACAUCAGAAAAGGGCACCUGCAGUGCCAUGUAAGGCAGACACAGAUAUCCCUGUGAAUUAGAGGAGUGACAGAAAACAUCAGAAAAGGGCACCUGCAGUGCCAUGUAAGGCAGACACAGAUAUCCCUGUGAAUUAGAGGAGAGUGACAGAAAACAUCAGAAAAGGGCACCUGCAGUGCCAUGUAAGGCAGACACAGAUAUCCCUGUGAAUGAGGAGAGUGACAGAAAACAUCAGAAAAGUGAAAGGUCACCUUUCUCUUUAAACUUGAGAGGUAACAGUAGGAAAAGAAACUCCCAUUCUUCCUGCCCUGUAAGUCAGCUAAUCUUGGACUCAAUAAAACAAUAAUCCAGGGGACCUUCAAGUUUUGACUGUAGUAAGUCCAGUUAAUGAUUAGCCAAUGUCUCCAUGAAUGGUCAGAUCUUGCCAAGGUGGUUUAAUAUGGAGGCUGUCUUUCUUGAUCACUUUGUUCUUGUUUAAUUUAAAUCAACAAGAAACUACAGAAACUAAAGAAUGGAACCUUUUCAUUUAGGAGAUGAAGCAUUGCACCUGUUAAUAAGUACAUUGUUUAGUAGAAGGCUGUUAAAAAUUUAAAAUACAUGCAUCUGCACAAAAACACUCUAGUAUUAGAAUAGGAAAGCACUGAACAGCAUUUGUUAUAUUGUCCUAUGUUAAAAAUCAUGCACGAAGAUUUCAAGGUAUUUGCUACUAAAUAUUUAAAACAAAAAUGACACUGGUAGUAUUUGUGUAUUUAAUUAAUUUCCAUUUGAAUUUUAUUUGAAAACAGCAUUUGCUACACCUUUCUGAGAUGGUCUUGCUCUGUGACCAGACUGGAGUGCAGUGUCACGAUCUCGGCUCACUGCAACCUCCAACUCCCUGGUUCAAGCUAUUCUUCCACCUCAGCCUCCCAAGUAGCUAGGACUGCAGGCAUAAGCCACCAUGCCCAGCUAAUUUUUGUAUUUUUUAUUUUAAGUAAAGACAGAGUUACACCAUGUUGGCCAGGAUCGUCUCAAUUUCCUGGCCUCAUGAUCCACCCACCUCAGCCUCCCAAAGUGCUGGGAUUACAGGCGUGAGGCACUGCACCCAGCCCACAAAUUGAUAUUCUUUAUUGCAACUAGGGGACCACUCUGUGUAGCUAAUAGGUGGUUGUUGAACACUGAAUAUGAAAAGGAAGCCUUUCAAAAGUUGGAAUAUAUGUCUAGUAAUUUGGUUAUAUUCUUACUCUUGAAAAUGCCUUUCCUUGCUUGAUCAGACCCUAACUAGCCGCAGCAGCAAAAAUAAAUCCAUAUCUUUGCAUCAGAGAUGCUCAGUAUAGAGCUUCCCAACCCAGGCUCCUCAUUCAGAAUCAGUGUUAUACUUCACAAUAACAACACAACUAAAAAGUAUGUUUAAAAAAAAGCUCAAAGCUUGUAAAUAAUAUUUUAAAAUCCUUUAAAAAUGUAUAAAUAUACAUGCCUUUUGGCCCAGCAUUCUACUUGCAAUUUAUCCUCCAGUAUCCUAGAAAUACUAUAUUAUGUAUGAUAUAUUUAUGAAAAUAAAUGUAAUACCAAAAGACUAGAAUCCAAGCUGUUCAUGAAUAGGGGACUAAAUAAAUGUUCAUCCAUACAUUGAACCCUUUAGCCAUAAAAAAUAAUGUUUAUCUCCAAAGAAUAUUAUGGGCUGGGCAUGGUGGCUCAUGCUUGUAAUCCUAGCACUUUGGGAGGCCAGGGCAGCAGGAUCACUUGAGGUCAGGAGUUUGAGACCAGCCUGGCCAACAUGCUGAAACCCUGUCUCCACUAAAAAUUCAAAAAUUGUCCAGGCAUGGUGGCAGGCACCUGUAAUCCCAGCUACUCAGGAGGCCGAGGCAGGAGAAUCGUUUGAACUCAGGAGGUGAAUGUUGCAGUGAGCCAAGAUCGCACCAUCACACUGCAGCCUUAAAAAAGAAAAAAAAUAAAAAUAUUAUGUAAAAAAGAAUCAGGGGGCUGGGCAUGAUGACUCACAUCUGUAAUCCCAGCACUUUGGGAGGCCAAAGUGGCAAGACUGCUUGAGCCCAGGAGUUCAAGAUGGGCCCAGGCAGCAUAGUAAGACAUUGUCUCUAGAAAUAAAAUUAAAAUUAAAAAGGUUAGGAACGGCAGCUCAUGCCUGUAAUCCUGGCACUUUGGGAGACCAAAGAGGGCAGAUUACCUGAGGUCAGGAGUUCGAGACUUGCCUGGCCAAUAUGGUGAAACCACGUCUCUAUUAAAAAAUAUAAAAUGAGCUGGGCAUGAUGGUGUGCACCUGUAAUCCCAACUACUUGGGAGGCUAAUGCAGAACUGCUUGACCUGGGAGGCGGAGGUUUCAGUGAGCUGAGAUCACACCACGGCACUCCAGCCUGGGCGAAGAAAGCAAAAACUAGGUCCCCCCAAAAAAGAAUAAAGGUAAAAAAUGGGCACAUUCUACCACCCUUUGUAAAAAGGGAGGGGAAAAUAUGCAUUUGUUUUUGCAUAGAAUACCCCAGAAGGAAACAUAAGACAGUGACAAUGUUGGCUGCCACUAGAGAGGGCAGCUGGAUAGCAGGGAAUGAGAUGGAAAGAAGACUAUUAGCGUUCUUGUGGUUCCAGCUACUCAAGAGACUGAGGUAGGAGGACAGCUUGAGCCUAGGAGGUCGAAGGUGCAGUGAGUUGAGAUCAUGCCACUGCUCUCCAGGCUGUGUGACAGAGUGAGACUGUGGCACAAACAAGUUGUAUCAUUACCUUUAGUCAAGAUCAACUUUUAGUAAUGAUCAACUUAGCCUACAUUUAAAUGUACGGUGACAAAAAGAGCAAGGGUCCUUUCACACAAAGCAGCCUCCAAGCCCAAUCACUCCUGCCUUUCCACUUUUCUAAGCACUUAAAUUUCCAUACACGGAACUGCAGUAUCCGGUGGUCCUGGAAACCUCCAGCACCGAUGAUAUACUUGUUCACCAUGUUUUCAGUAUCCGGUGGUCCUGGAAACCUCCAGCACCGAUGAUAUACUUGUUCACCAUGUUUUCAGUAUCCGGUGGUCCUGGAAACCUCCAGCACUGAUGAUAUACUUGUUCACCAUGUUUUCAGUAUCCGGUGGUCCUGGACACCUCCAGCACUGAUGAUAUACUUGUUCACCAUGUUUUCAGUAUUCGGUGGUCCUGGAAACCUCCAGCACUGAUGAUAUACUUGUUCACCAUGUUUUCAGUAUUCGGUGGUCCUGGACACCUCCAGCACUGAUGAUAUACUUGUUCACCAUGUUUUCAGUAUCCGGUGGUCCUGGACACCUCCAGCACUGAUGAUAUACUUGUUCACCAUGUUUUCAGUAUCCGGUGGUCCUGGACACCUCCAGCACUGAUGAUAUACUUGUUCACCAUGUUUUCAGUAUCCGGUGGUCCUGGACACCUCCAGCACUGAUGAUAUACUUGUUCACCAUGUUUUCAGUAUCCGGUGGUCCUGGACACCUCCAGCACUGAUGAUAUACUUGUUCACCAUGUUUUCAGUAUCCGGUGGUCCUGGACACCUCCAGCACUGAUGAUAUACUUGUUCACCAUGUUUUCAGUAUCCGGUGGUCCUGGACACCUCCAGCACCGAUGAUAUACUUGUUCACCAUGUUUUCAGUAUCCGGUGGUCCUGGAAACCUCCAGCACUGAUGAUAUACUUGUUCACCCAUGUUUUGUAGCAGCUAUUCACAAUAGCCAAGAGGCAGAGGCAACCCAAAUAUCCAAUGAUCCAUGAAUUGAUAAAAAAAAAGUUGAACAUAAUACCAUGGAAUAUUAUUCAGCCUUAAAAAGGAAGGACAUCCUGUCACAUGCUACAACAUGGAUGAAGCUUGAGAACAUUAAGUGAAAUAAGCCUGUCAAAAAUAGACAAAUACUGUAUAUGCCACUUAUAUGAGGUACCUAAAGUAGACAAAUCAUAGAAAAAAGAAUGGUGGUUGCCAGGGGCUGGGUGAAGUAGGGGAAAUGGGGAUUUGUUCACGGGUAGAGUUUCAGUUCUGUAAGGUGAAAAAGUUUUGAAAUCUGUAGCACAAAAGUGUGAAUAAUAGUUGUCACAACCAACUGAACUAUAUAUUUUAAAAUGGUAAAGAUCGUAAAUUUUGUGUUUUUACCAUAAUUAAGAAACAAACAAAACCACAUAUCAAUGAAGGGAAUCGGGUAGAACUCUUCUGAACAGGUCUAAGGAGCUGCAGAAGAAUUGUGUGGCUUCUUUCACACAACUCAGAAGGGGCCAGGAAGUGACUGGGAUCAAGGGCCAUUUUCUCACCUCUUCUCUAGUCACGGAUGAUAUUGAGAAGGGUGGUUACAAACUGGUAGCCUCCAUGCUGCAGAAAGGUCAGUUCUCUCCAAAAUGGAUCUAUGGUCUAAAUGUAAUGGCUAUCAAAACCUCCAUCUGUGUAAGUGUGUAACUCUGAACUGGAGACGCUAAUUCUAAAACUGAUGAGGAAACGCCAUGGGCUAAGAAACUCUUGAAGAACAAUAAUAAGAAGGCUUUCCUCUCACCAGCAUGACUUACAGAUCAUUAGUACAACGUGGGGACUGACACAGGGACAAAUAUACUAAUGGAACAGCAACAAGAGUCCAGAAACACACACUUCCCCAAGCAAACACAAAAAUCAAUUCCAGGUAGAGAAAAACCAAAAUGUGAAAGUCGAAACUAUAAAGCUUAAAAAAAAAAAUAGGCCACGUGGUGGCUCACGGCUGUAAUCUUAGCACUUUGGGAGGCUGAGGUGGGCGGAUCACCUGAGGUCGGGAGUUCGAGACCAGCCUGAUCAACAUGGAGAAACCCCGUCUCUACUAAAAACACAAAAUUAGCUGGGCGUGAUGGCACAUGCCUGUAAUCCCAGCUACUCAGGAGGAUGAGGCAGAGGAAUCACUUGAACUUGGGAGGCGGAGGUUGCCGUGAGCUGAGAUUGUGCCAUUGCACUCCAGACUUGGCAACAAGAGCGAAACUCUUUCAAAAUAUAUGUGUGUAUAUAUAUAUAUUUAAUACAUAUGUAAAUUUUCAAUACAUAUCUAUUUAACAUAUUUUAAUAUAUAUUUAAUAUAUAUUUUAAAUACAUACAUACAUACAUAUAUAUAUAUAUAUAUAUGAGAUUAUCUUUAUGAUCCUGAGGUAGGAGAGGAUUCCUUAUGCAAGAAUCCCAAGAGCAGAUGUGAUGGCUCAUGUCUGAAUUCCCAGGACUUUGGGAGGCUGAGGCAGGCGGAUCACUUGAGGUAAGGAGUUCUAGACCAGCCUGGCCAACAUGGUAAGACUCUGUCUCUACUAAAUAUACAAAAAUCGGCCAGGAAUAGUGGUGGGUACCUGUAAUCCCUUGGGAGGCUGAGGCAGGAGAACUGUUUGAACCUGGGAGGUGGAGGUUGCACUAAGCUGACAUAAUGCUAACAUACUCUAGCCUGGGGAACAGAGUGAGACUCUCUCUCAAAAAACAAAACAAACAAAACCCAAAACAAGAAUUCCAAAGAACUUGUUUAUUCACUCACUAUAAGGGGAAGAAUCUAGCUGUUAACGCAUACUAUGCAAAAAGAUAUCCGAAUAGCCAACAAGUAUAUGAAAAGAUAUUCAAGCUCAGUAGUGAUUAUCAAAAAACGCAAACUAAGAGCCACACAGUAUCAUCAGAUUGACUAAAACUAGUCUGACAAUAUCCAGUGUGGGGAAUGUGGAGAUACAGGAACUCUGAUACAUGGCUUAUGAGAAUGGAAACUGUUAUAACCACUGUAGAAAAUAAUUUGGAAUUAUCCAGUAAGGCUGAAGGAUACUCAUUUUCUAUGAUCAAGUAUUCUUUCCUUUGGGCAUUGGAUCCUGGAGACAGACACCCCGGCAUGUAUACCCCAAGAUUCCUGAACAGGAACUUCACAGCAGCAUUAUUUAUAGUAGCCAGAAACUGGAAAAAAUGUAGAUAUCCAUCCACAGCAGAAAUGAUGAACUGCAGAAUAGUCAUAUAAUGGGACACUGCCAGGGAAUCAUAAUAUACAGCUUCAUGCAAGACAUGGGUAAAACUACAAAUCAUGCUGAGAAAAACCAGUUCUCUGAGCAUCCCCAUUUUUCUAAGAAAAAGACAACGUUAUUUUUUUCUUCUCUUUUCUCUAUUUCCUUCUAUUCCCCACACCCUACUUAGCUCUUUAGAAAUGCAAUUUCUAAGUUUUACCUCCCCUUUUAGCUCCCCUUCACCAGACACUCCCUAAAGGGCAAGUUCAUCUAACAAUCUGCUGAAAAGCUCUGCAGUGGGAACUCUUAGCCACCGGGAGACUGCUUAGAGAGACAACAGUCAAUUUACAACACAGAGUGUCCAUCAGGUGAGACUCUCUACCACCUGCAGAGUUUCAGAGUUUUAGCCACCCUACAACCUACUUCUGCCCAUGAAGAUGCCAACUUUACCACCUAGUAGAUAAGGCAGUGAAGUACAAGAACCUCCACCUGCUUGGUUCCUCUUCUGUGUAUCAUUUAUACCAGGCACACUUUUUAUACUUCUCAUAAAAAGUACCCACUUCCUGCUCCAAAAGUGAAGCAGGACCCUUAAGGCAGGAAGCUUGUACUUCUUCCCCUAACCUAGCUUUGGAAUAAGUCACUUUAUACCACACCUUGCUCUUGUUAAUUGGACUCUGCAAGCACCAAGUACUGAACCUGCAUUGGUUCCAGUUCCACUUAAAAUAAACUUCAUAAACAUAUUUCUCUGACUUUUCAGAGAGUUUAUUAGGUCACCUGCAAAUUAGGUUAUCUGCAGGUUCGCUAAACUUGAAAAUGACAAUCUGCAAGCAAGUGAGCCAACUAUAAACUUAGAAGCAUUCAUUCAUUCAUUCAUUCAUUCAUUCAUUUUUUUUUGAGAAAGGAUCUUACUCUGUCACCCAGGCUGAGGUGCAGUUGGCACAAUCUCAGCUCACUGCAACCUCCACCUCCCAGGUUCAAGAGAUUUUCCUGCCUCAGCCUCCCAAGUAGUGGGGACUACAGGCACCUGCCACCCCACCUGGCUAAUUUUUACAUUUUUAGUAGAAAAGGGGUUUCACCCUAUUGGCCAGGCUGGUGUUGAACUCCUGACCUCAGGUGAUCCACCUACCUUGGCCUCCCAAAGUGCUGGGAUUACAGGCUUGAGCCACUGUGCACAACCAGAAGCAAUAUUUAAAUGAGUUUAAUUCGAGUGGCAGCAAAAAUAAUAGUUUCCAACUACAUAUACUUUUAACUGUUUCAUAAAUCUGUGACUUUAAAAAGUUAGGGAUUGGGCCAGAUUCAGGAGGUCGAGGUGGGUGAAUCACUUGAGCCCAGGAGUUCGAGAAUAGCCUGGACAACAUGAUGAAACCCCGUUUCUACAAAAAAAUGCAAAAAUUAGUUGGGUGUUGUGGUACACAUCUGUAGUCCCAGCUGCUUGGGAGGCUGAGGCGAGAGGAUCAUUUGAGCCUGGGAGGUCAAGGCUGCAGUGAGCUGAGAUCAUGACAUUGCAUUCCAGCCUGGAUGAAAAGCAGAACUCUGUCUCGAAAAUAAAUAAGUUACAAUAAAAUAAAAUUUAAGGGCAUUUUAAAUUAAGUCAUCUUUUGGUGGAGGCAACUGUGUAUUUUCUUUUUUAAAGUACCAGAUAUAAUAAAAACCAAAUAAAAAAGUGACUAUGGCUCUUUUAAAAAUUUAAAAACUCAGCAGAACAGAACUUGAAAUCAUCUUCAUCUCUCAAACACUGAAAGUCACAUUUCUUUGGUUACAGAUUCACUUAAAAAAAUUAAAUGUAAAAGCAAUUUUAUUUUUAUUCUUCACUCCCAGUGCUUCAUUUGACUAGCGUUAAACAUUACUAUUAUUAUUUUGGCAGGGUGUGGUGGCUCACACCUACAUAGUCCCAGCUACUUGGGAGGCUGAGGCAGGCUGCCUGCUUGAGCUCAGGAGUUCAAGACCAGCCUGGACAAUAUGACAAAACCCCAUCUCUACCAAAAAUUAGCUGAGUGUGGUGGCACGUGCCUGUAGUUCCAGCUACUUGGGAGGCUGAGGUGGGAGGAUCGUUUGAGCACGGGAGGUAGAGGUUGUACAGAGCCGAGAUUGUACCACUGCAUUCCAGUCUUGGCAAGAGUGAGCUCUGCCUCAAAAAGAAAGAUUAUUAAUUUUAUUUUUUAAAAUAAUUAUUUGUUGAGAUGAGGUCUUGUUCCUUUGAGCAGGCUGGAGUGCAGUGGCGUGAACAUGGCUCACUGCAGUCUCGACCUCUUGAGCUCAACUGAUCCUCCCACCUCAGCCUUCCAAGUAGCUGGGACUACAGCCACAUCCCACCAUGCCCAGUUAAUUUUUGUGCUUUUAGUAAAGAUGGGGUUUCGCCAUGUUGGCCAGGAUGGUCUCGAUCUCUGGACCUUGUGAACUGCCUGCCUUGGCCCUCCAAAGUGCUAGGACUACAAGUGUGAGCCACCACAGCCGGCCCCAGCUAAUUUUUUAAUUUUUAGCUUUAGUAGAGUCAAGGUCUCACUGUGUUGCUCAGGCUGGUCUCAAACUACUGAGCUCAAGUGAUUCUUCUGUGUUGGUUGUGUUAAAGUUUUUAAAUUGACAAUAAUUACACUGAGGUAAUUUCUAAUUCGAGUUCCAUUAUAGUGAUGACUCAAUUAAUUUUCCUAAAUAAUGGCAAUAAUCUCAUAACUGGAAAAAAGAGAGAAAGCUGAUGCAUGAGAUAAAGCAGGUGGGACUCCAAGCUCCAAGGGCUCCAGUCCUUUCUGGCCAGUCCUCCACUAACUACUUUGCUCCACUGUGCAGCCAAUUCCCAAACACUUUCAGUAGCAAGAUGGGAAGACUUAAUAUCAGGAAAAAUGGAAGGAAAGUCCUCAGAAUUGUCUCUCUCUUUUUUUUUUUUUGAGAGGGUCUUGCUCUGUCACCCAGGCUGGAGUGCAGUGGCAUGAUCUCAGCUCACUGCAACCUCCACCUCCUGGGUUCAAGCCAUUCUCCUGCCUCAGCCUCCCCACUGGGAUUACAGGCGCACACCCCCACACCCAGCUAAUUUUUGCAUUUUUAGUAGAGAUGGGUUUUGCCAUCGUUACACUGCUUCAUUUGUCAGCAACCUGACAAAGCCAAAAUCCCUCUCCAAUAAUAUCCCUCUUGAUAUCAUCACAGUAGGAAAAAUCAGAGGUCGAGUGGGUGAAACAGCAAAGUCAGGGCUCCAGAAGGUACAGGAGGUCAUAACACAGUUCAGAAAGCCAAUAAUUUGUGGCCACUUGCUUUACCAGUAGUCUUGAGAAAUGCGACUUUUCUCCCCAAAUUCUUAAAUUCCAGUUUUAGGAAACGGCAUUGGAUUAAUCAGGAAAUCAGUUAAGAUAAUUUCAGAAUCCCAAGCAGGUCACAAAAUGAACAAAGAUGGCAUUCUAUACUAACUAUUCACCAAUAAUGACUAUGGGCAAGUACAUUUUUGCGAAGCUGGGUAAACUCAGAAAGAAUUUGUUGAAGAACACAGGAGAGGAAUAUUUAUUCCUCAUGGUUUAAGCCAACACUACCCAUCUUUCUAUUCCACAGAAAGUUUUCCUUCGUGGAUACCAGACAGUGUUCAGGGAAAAGAGAAUACUUUGUUCUAGUAACUGGAAAGGCUCACGAUGCAUCUGCCUUUCGUGGUACAUGCAAGACCACAGACGGCAAGAAUUCAGAAUCCAGUAAGGUGCCUGGCACAUGGAAGACCUCCCUAUUCCCUGAGAUGCAGCAAUAUUUACAUUAUGCCAAUUAACAACCCUACAAUGGCGUCUAAGGGUCUAAGUAAAAGGAAGAAUCUCACAUCUUAUUCAAAAUCAAAAGCUAGAAAUGACUAAGUUAAAAGGCAUGUCAAAAGCUGAGACAGACAGAAAUCUACGCCUCUUGCACUGAACAGCCAAGAUGUUGAUGCAAAGGAAAAGUUUCGGAAGGAAAUUAGAAGUGCUACUAAAUGUACUUUUUUUUUUACCAGUGAAUUCACAAAUGGUAAGAUUGCUGAUAAGCAGAAAGUCCGAGUGAUCUGGAUAGGAGAUCAAAAACCAGACAGAAUAUUCCCUUACGCCAAAGCCUAAUCUGAAGAAAGGCCUUAACUGUCUUCAAUUCCAUGGAAGAUGACAGAGGUGAGAAGAUGCAGAAGUAUGAAACCAGCAGAGUUAGCCCACAAUGUCUAAGAAGCUGCCUCUGUAACAGAAGUGCAAGGUGAAGCAGCAAGUGCUGACAGAGAAGAUGUAGCAAGUUAUUCAGAAGGUCCUUGAUGAAGCGGGUUACGGAUUUUGAAUACAAAACAUUUUCAAUAAAGACGAAACAGCUUUCUGUCGGAAGAAGAUGCCAUCUAGGACUUUUGUAGGUAGAGCUUCAAGAACAAGCUGAUGCCAAUGAUCAUUUACCAUUCCCCAAAUCCUAGGGCCCUGUAGAGUUAUGCUAAAUCUCCUGCCUGUACUCCAGAAUGGAACAAAGAAGCCUGGAUAUCAGCAUAUCUCUUUAUAGCAUGGUUUACUGACUAUUUAAGGCCUACUACUCAGAAGAAAAUAAGAUUCCUUUCAAAAUAUUACUGCUCAUGACAACGCAUGUGGUCAUCUAAGAGCUCUAAUGAAGAUAUACAAGGAGAAACAUCCACGUUGGAGCCCAUGGAUCAAGGAGUCAUUUUGACUUUCAAGUCUUAUUAUUUAAGAAACACAUUUCAUAAGGCUAUAGCUGCCAUGGAUACUGAUUGCUUUGAUGGAUCUGGGCAAAGUAAACUGAAAAUCUUCUGGAAAACAUUAUUCUAGAUGCCAUUAAGAACAUUUGUGAUUCAGAGGAGCAGGUCAAAAUAUCAACAUUAACAGGAGUUUGAAAGAAGUUGAUACCACUCUCAUGAAUAACUUUGAGGGGUUCAAGUCGUUGGGGGAGAUUUGGUGGAAAUAUCAAGAGAAUUAGAAUUAGAAGUGGAAUCUCAAAAUGUAACUGAACUGCUGCAAUCUCAUGAUAAAACACGAAUGGAUGAGGAGGUGCUUCUUAUGAAUGAAGAAGGAGAGUGGUUUCUUGUGAUGGAGUCUACUCCUGGUGAAGGUGUGAAUGUCGUUAAAAUGACAACAAAGGAGUUUUAUUCAUUUAUGUUUAAAUAACAAAAAUUAUUUAAU
Molecule: non-coding RNA, 11988 nt
Organism: Callithrix jacchus (white-tufted-ear marmoset)
Lineage: Eukaryota; Metazoa; Chordata; Mammalia; Primates; Cebidae
Source: RefSeq, a predicted model, not a curated record